This 604-nucleotide ribosomal RNA is filed under the name Modicella reniformis. Its description in RNAcentral is "eukaryotic LSU rRNA". The stretch from base 166 to 319 matches the Rfam family "5.8S ribosomal RNA". Lineage: Eukaryota; Fungi; Mortierellomycota; Mortierellomycetes; Mortierellales; Mortierellaceae. The record is from RNAcentral.
UAAUAAGUGUUUAUGGCACUUUCAAUCCAUAUCCACCUUGUGUGCAAUGUCAGCCCUGAUCACAUCCAGCAGAUUCUUUCUGUUUUGGGUGUGAAAAAGGUUUCCAUUUAUCCCACGGUUUUUUUUUCAGUCUAUAUUCUUUGAGUAAAAACGAAACUCAAAUACAACUUUCAACAACGGAUCUCUUGGCUCUCGCAUCGAUGAAGAACGCAGCGAAAUGCGAUACGUAAUGUGAAUUGCAGAAUUCAGUGAAUCAUCGAAUCUUUGAACGCACAUUGCGCCUUCUGGUAUUCCGGGAGGCAUGCUUGUUUGAGUAUCAGUUAAACACCUCGACUUUUCUCCCCUCUGGGCGUAAGUUGGAAUUGAGCAGUUUUUUCCCCAAACUCCUUUGAGGAUGUGCGGGAUGCUUAAAAUGCAGGUGCAGCUGGAUCCCUUUCAUUAUCCCUAGGCUACAAGCAUUUCUGCUUAGUCCGGUCAACCGGAUUAUACCUUUUGCUGCAGCCAAGCGCGAUAGUAAAAAUGAUCGGGAACCUUUUUUACGCUGACUGAUGCAGGAUUUUGACAGAUUUAAAAUCUGUUCCACUCGAUCUCAAACAAGUAAGAC